CUAAACUUCACUUUUAUAUGCCUAUGAAAUUGGAACUAUAUGGAGAUUAGCGUGACCUCUGUGCAAGGAUGACAUGCAAAUUCGUCAAUCAUUCCAUAGUUUU
This is a small nuclear RNA of Dipodomys ordii (Ord's kangaroo rat), 103 nucleotides long. NCBI's taxonomy places the organism in Eukaryota, Metazoa, Chordata, Mammalia, Rodentia, Heteromyidae. The record is from Ensembl.